ACUCCUACGGGGAGGCAGCAGUGGGGAAUAUUGGACAAUGGGCGCAAGCCUGAUCCAGCCAUGCCGCGUGAGUGAUGAAGGCCCUAGGGGUUGUAAAAGCUCUUUCACCGGUUGAAGAUAAUGACGGUAACCGGAGAAGAAGCUCCGGCUAACUUCGUGCCAGCAGCCGCGGUAAUACGAAGGGAGCUAGCGUUGUUCGG
This 200-nucleotide ribosomal RNA is filed under the name uncultured bacterium. Its description in RNAcentral is "partial 16S ribosomal RNA". It matches the Rfam family "Bacterial small subunit ribosomal RNA", at positions 335 to 548 of the family's 1533-position model. The record is from RNAcentral.